This 1016-nucleotide long non-coding RNA is filed under the name Nicotiana benthamiana. Its description in RNAcentral is "long non-coding RNA (NBEN_LNC041754)". Lineage: Eukaryota; Viridiplantae; Streptophyta; Magnoliopsida; Solanales; Solanaceae. The record is from RNAcentral.
UCAUUCAGAACUAGGAACAAUGACAAAGUAUACCGAUGUGGAGAGUCGAUUGAGGAGCCGUCGAGGUUCUGGUCCGAAGUUCCUACCAUUACAUCAAAAUAAAAGGAAAUAUUAAAGCAAAAUAUAAAAGAAAAAUACAAGAUCCUAUUUACUUCUUGUAUUGAAUCUCCACUUGUUCCUUUAACAUGAAACUUAAAAUUCACCCUAUUCUUCAGGGGCAUCUUGCUGACUUGAUUUUGAAGAAAAUUGGAAGUUGGCCAUAUUCUGCAGCCAGGCACUCUGAUGCUUGCACUUGAAAUAAAGUUGAACUUGGAGUAUAUUUGAGCUUGAAAACCUUGUUCCUCGGGCGGCUCGUGCUACUUUUGAUUUGAAUUUAAAAUUGCCCCUAUUCUCCACGCGAGUUCCUGUUGUAUUUGACUUGAUUCUUGAAAAACUGAAUGUUUCCCAUGUUCUUCAGGCGGACUCCUGCUGUUUUUGACUUGGAUUUUGAAAACUGGAAGUUGACCCUGUUCUUCGGCCGGGCAUCCUGCUGCUUGCACUUGAAAUAAACUUAAACUUGGAGUAGACUUGAGCUUGAAAACCUUGUUCUUCAGGCAGCUUGUGCUACUUUUGAUUCGAAUUAAAAAUUGCCCCUAUUCUCCAAGCCGGCUCCUGUUGUCUUUGACUUGAAUCUUGAAAACUGAAAGUUGACCCUAUUCAUCAGGUGGAUUCGUGUUGCCUUUAACAUGAACCUUGAAAACUGAAAGUUGACCCUGAUCUUCAGGUGGGAGUCUCCUGCUAUCUUUGACUUGAAUCUUGAAAACUAAAAGUUGACCUUGUUCUUCAAGCAGAUUCCCGCUGUCUUUGACUUGAACAUGAAAAUUAAAAGUUGACCCCAUUCUUCAGGCGGGAUUCUUUUGAUGCCUCUGACUUGAUCUUGAAAAAUGAAAGUUGACCCUGUUCUUCAGGCGAGAUUCUCCUGAUGCUUCUUGAACUUGAAAAUUGAAAAUUGACUCUGUUCUUCAAGUGAGCUCCUG